This 6445-nucleotide long non-coding RNA is filed under the name Homo sapiens (human). RNAcentral's name for it is "HSALNT0280179". Lineage: Eukaryota; Metazoa; Chordata; Mammalia; Primates; Hominidae. The record is from RNAcentral.
UUAGGAAUGAAAAGAAUGUCUGUGCUUAUUAAAGGGAGACAAAACUCUUGGCCCGGGCCCCACAUGGGCCACUUUGUGAGUUAUGUUGGAGGGAGAACAGGCCUCAUCUCCACCCUACAACCAAACCAAUACCAGAGACCUCCGCUACUGUGAAUCUUGGGACCAAAAAUAUGCAAUCUUUUCAUCGGAUCAUUGAGAAGUUCCUGUCCUUUCAGAACAGAGGCAGGCUGUGUCCCUGAGGAUCUACAAACGGUAAUUGGAUUGUAACUGUGCAAACUGUCCUUAUUAGGAAUCAACCAAAGAAUGUUGGAAGCCACUGGUGAAACCCCUGAGAGCAAGAUAAAGCACAUAGGAUGCCUUCUUUGUUUAGGACAAAUUCUCAGUUCUUAAAUUAUAUUUUAAAACUACUGACUCCAUUUUUCUAACACUAGCCACACACACUAAAAAGCAAAAGUUUUCAUUCUCUUUCACACUGAAGCAUAACACAUGCUCUGUAUUUUAUCCUCUUUGUGGGACAGCAGUCCUUGAGAAGUUGUUCAUUUCCUGAACAGAGGGUGUGGAGGUCAGAGUGAAUAUACCCACAUGGCCAUAUCUAAGAGGGUUCAGGUUGGGGUGGGGGUUGGGGGUGGCAUCCAUGAAGAGCAGAGAGAAAAGGGAAGAUUAAUUCCAAUCGCGAAUUACCUUGAUCUCCAUGCAUUCCACAUGGCACUGAACCAAAUACAACUCGAAAAGACAUCUUUGUUUCCCAGUCAAUAGGAAGUUAUAGUUCUCUCAUGGGUCUCAAGUGAAUUCCAACAAAAGAAUCACUGUGAUUAUAAUUUACAAACCGGGAAAUGAUUUCAUGGAAGAUCUUACUGAUUCAAAAUUAAGGACUCGGUAUGCUUUUACUAGGAUUCUGUGAAACUAAUCAUGUAAGCCACACAUAGCCUCUGCUGCUGCUGCUGCUAAGGAAGGAAUUUUAAAGCAGUAAAAUAUUCCAGGUGGUUUUCUUUACUAGAAUGAUUAAACUUAAACAGAGAUUCAGAGUAAAAUCUACCUGUUACUGCACAUACCUCCACCACCACUAUCCUAAAAACUGAUGUUGAAAAUACGCAUUAUUCCAGUAGACAGUCAACAUGGCUCAUACUGGAUACUCAUCAAUGGAAGUUACAUCCUCAUUUAAAGAUAUCUAAUAUCUUAAUAUCAAUAUAUCUAAUAUCUUAAUAUAUUAUUUCACAUGAAAUUGAUAAAUAUGUAAUUCAUUUUUUAUUAUUAGGCAAAUGAUCCUUUAGUUUAUAAAUAGAUGACAGCAACAUGUAGUUCUGACUGAGCACUUACUAAGUGUCAGGCAUUGUUUUAGGCAUUUUAUGGGCACUGACUUAUCUAACCAUCAAAAUAAUUCUUAGCAGUAGGUUACAUUAUUAUCCUCAUAUUACAGAUGAGGAAACAGAAGCGCAGAGGAGUUAAGUGACUUGCUCAAAGAUUCACAGCUCAUAAGUAAUGCGGCUGUCAUCCCAACCACUAUGAGCUUACAAAUUAACUGGAAGACAAAACCACAGUUCAGAGUCAGUACUAGUAGGAGCCAUGUUAUAAGUAUCUAAUAAGGAAGAGACAGUGAUGAAAUAAGAAUGUUUACCUAACACUAGAGUGGUCUGUUAAAUCAAUUAUUUGAUGGAGACAUACACUGUCAGGUCAAUAAAUGUUUCGUAAGAAGGUGACUAAGUGAAUAAUCUCAAAUAAUCCCGAGAGACAACAUCUUGUGAAAUUCCUAGUCUGUUUUAAGAGUGGAAGCAAGGCAGGCCUUAAGAGGAAGUGCAGAAAUAAUGGAGAAGGUGUGUAUAUUUGGUAUUCUUUGGAAAAUGCAUUCAAACCAGAAAAACAAAACAUAAAGAUAAGGAAUCCUUUUUAAGAUUUAAAUAACAACUCUUUAAGUAAAACCAAUAAGAGACCAAAGAGUCACUGAAAGAGCCUUGGAAAUAAAUAUCAGGAAGCAACUAAAAGGUUCCAUCUGUGGAAGAGUUUCGCUAAUCACAAAAAGUGCUGAGAGCACAAUGGUCAUUUUUUUCCCAUUUAACCCUCCAUAUCUAAGCAUACCAAGAAACAAUUUAUAGCCUAAGAAUCUAUGCCAUUAAGCAUUCAUUCCACCUUCUUCUUGGCUCUUAUUCUGGAUUAUUUCUGUUUAUAUCACUGGUGAUAUUUUGCACAUUUAAGGCAAAAAUAUCAUAGAAUCACUGUCAAACUUUUUGAGUGAAUACAUUUCUGAUUACAGUACUCUUUUGCCUAAAACCCUUUGAUGUCUCCUCCUUAGCUCCAGGACAAAGUCCAAAUUCCUUAGCCUGGUAUCCAGUGCGGUGUGCUUUUACUUAGAUGGAAUAAAAUCAAAUAGCCACUACAUAAUAGUGAAUGAUAACAGUAGAAGUUUACUGAGCAUGUAUUAGGUGCUAAGCACUUCAUGUGUGCCAUGUAUUCACUGCCUCCAACAAUUUCAUUUUAUAGAGGAAGUGAUGGAGGCACAGAAAUGGAUGGCGCACAGUGAGGAAAACACUGACUGCUCAUGAAGCCCGUAGCCCCUUUUUCGUGGGCAUUCAGCUAGUCUACAUUUCCCAGCCUCUCUUGCAGUUAAUAGUGGUCAUAUGACUGGAGUCUAGCUAAUGGAAUGUCAGAGGAAGUGACAAGCUUCAUUUCUAGCCCCAGUCCAUAAAAACCUGGAGACAGCAUCCAGGCAACCUGCAUAGCCAUGUGUGGUAGUCCCAGGAGUGGACCACAUUUUUCAGUGUUCUUUGCCUAGUGUAGUCCCCUGCCCUUCAAGCCCGCCUGGCUCUAUGAGUUACUUUAACCAACUGAAUGUGGCAGAAGGGGAUGCCAAGCCCAUUCUGGACCUGAGACAUAAGAAGGCAUGGAAACUUCUGCUUUUGCAUUCAUAGGACCCUUGAGCCCCCAUGACAUAGGUGUAGCCACUAUGUUGAAGAGACCACGUGGAGAGGCAAUAUAGCCAGCGUGAAAGGUUUAGUUGCCCCAAUGUCUCAACCUAAAUCCAGCCCACCCUACCUCCAGCUGAAUGAAAGGAAGAAGCAGCCCAGGUUCAGAAUCAUUGCUUGGAGCACAGCUGUCCCACCAAUUGUGGCCAAUCUAACAGUAUGAAUGACAAAUAGACUUAUGUUGUGAAAUUUGGGGAUGUAUCUGAUAUAGCAGCUGACCUCACUUUCCUGAACUUCCCAUAUGAACACAGAUAAUAAAUCUAAGCAGCCUGAUCUGGAGCCCUUGCGCUUGAAACUCCUCCUAUACUUCUCCCCACUGAACGACAUCAUGACUCAUUUCGUCCCUUCCUACAUUCUCACUUGGAAACAGAGUAGUUGAUCAACUGGAUGAAAAAGUUUGCCGACCCCAGAUCUGGACCCACUGAAAAGAAAUCACCAGAUAUAUGACAUAGGGGAUGACAAUGUUCACAUUUCAUGGUGGAGCAUUUCACUAUUUCAAACAGCAAAGGAACCACAUUUUUUUUCUGUUUCUUUUUUUAAUUAAUUUUAAGUUCCAGGGUACAUGUGCAGGAUGUGCAGGUUUGUUACAUAGGUAAACAUGUGACAUGGUGGUUUGCUGUACCUAUCAACCCAUCACCUAGGUAUUAAGCCCAGCAUGUAUUAGCUAUUUAUCCUGAUGCUCUCCCUCCCCCAACCCCACCACCGGACAGGACCCAGUGUGUGUUGCUCCCCUUCCUGUGUCCAGGAACCACAUGUUUUUAAAACUAUGUUUGUGACAUCUCUGUAUGUAUGAGCAGAUGGGUCCACAGAGAUCACUCAAUGUCUAAUUUUCUUUUACGCACAUAAUGAGAAAAAGCUCAGGGAGAAAAAGUGAAAUCAGUAGCAUGGACUUUAGUAUUUGGUAUGAGCUACUUAUUAGGAAUCAGCAUUUCUUCCAAGUAUUCUCGAAAGAAAAGACAUUCAUACUAGAGUGAUGCCUAUCAAAUCCACUAUGGCCGGCCUGAGAAACUUGUAAUUAAAAACUACAAACAUUAUAGAUUUGUCUCCAUAUUAAAUAGAUUUAACUAUCUCUACAUCUAUGUGUAUCUAUAUGUAUCUCUUGACUAUUAUAUAUUUAUUAUAUGAUGAAUUAUAUAUGUGACAUAUUUCUAUCUUAUAUAGACAAAUAUUUAUAAUAGGUAUGUGAUAAUACACAGUGGGUAAAGGGUACGUAUGCAAAUGCAUCUUGCUUUAAGUAAACCAAUUAUUUGAAAAUACACACAAUAAAAUUAGGGGCAAUGAUUCUGUGGUUCAAAUACAUCAGUAUGGGUUCCCUGCAGUGACCCAGGAAAACUGAAGCAAAAUCAUUUUUAACAUUGCUUCCUAUGUCUCUCCUACUCACACUCAGAAAGUCACCAGUUUCUGUGGAUCCCACCUCAUUAAAAACUGUCCUUUCCUUUAACACUUCCUCUCUGGGAAUGUCCACCAGCACUUCCACACUCUUGUAGGCUGUCUCUCCCUACAAAGCAAAACUCAUCUUGUCCCUUCCCUUUUGAAAGCCAUCAUUGAGGCUCCUAGCUUUCCAGAUGAAGUUCUCAACUCUGAGGUGAAAACACAAGAUCGCUCAAGAUCUGGCCACUGCUUAGCUCUUGGGCUUCACCAAGCCUCACUUACUUCACAUCCCUUAAUUUCAGCCACAUGGAAGAGCCCAGAGGACUUCAUGGUUAGGGUGAGGGGUGCUCUCAGCCCAAAUGGCUUCCCCAUGCCUUCCUACUCACCCUGUAAUGCUUACUGAGCAUCACCUCCUCUGAGAAGCCCUGUCGUCCCCCUACAGGGACAUUACAAAUGAAUCAUCACAUUAACAAGAAAAUCAUACCAUCUAAAACACAAACAAGUUUACUAUGGACCUAUAAGGAACACCAAAACAUGACCAAAGGAAAUUCACCUUAUGUUUGUUAAAGAAGGCGAAUCUGCUUCUUUCAAGGUUCCAAAUGACCUAGACACUUGAGAUGUCUAGACAAUCACUUGUGAUGUCUCAUUGAGGGAGGAAAGAGGAGGGGUGGGAAUGUUUAAAUGUCAGCUAUUUUUCCAGAAAACUCUAACGUCACCGAUACGUCCCUCCUAUGUAACCAUCACACUCAUCUCCCCCCGACCCUGCCCCAUCUCAGCUAUUUUCUUGACUCUUAUUUAAACAUUGGAAAGCUAUUUGAUUAUCUAUAUUUGUGCCUUUUCUCCCUGGCUAGACUGUAGGUUCUGGAAGAAUAGAAACAGCACUAACAUUUUGUGCUUUUGUAUAUUUGCUGGUUGAAAGAAAAUUUGAAGGAGAGUAGCAAUUCUGUCUAUACAGAAAAUCAUUUCUGUCUAUUAGCAUGGAAACAAGACCAGCAGGGAAUAUUUAUAUUUAGGACAUUUAUUUUAAAGUAGCUAAAAUCACUUCCAGUAAAAAUGCAAAAAAAAGAAAAUCUUGCUUCCUGACUUUUAGUAUUAAGAGACAAACAUGUAAAAGGGAAAAUUGAAAAGGGAGAAACCAACAUGAAGUAUGACACCAAAUGCAGGUAUGACGUGAAAACAAGCCAUCUGCACUUACUGGUUCACAUCUGAUUUUCUAGCUGCCACUUUUCAGAUUUAUUUUUCAAAAAUGUUUUCUCCUCAAUAUACGACUUUUAAAAUGAUAAAUUACACAGUAUUUCACAGACCUGUGUAAAUACUUUUGCUCUGAUGUAUAGAAAAUCAUGCUUUCUCUGAGCAAUGAAGCAUAUUGAAAUUUACAUUUUCAAAAAUAAAUUAUAGUAAAAUAAUAGAAGAGCUUGGACAUAAAAAUCAUAUGCCAUAAAAGUUACCACUUUAAAGUGUAUAGUUCUGUGUUUCUUUUUAGUAUACUCAUAGAUAGUGUACAACCAUCAUCACUGAUUCCAAAACAUUUUCAUCACACCAAAAGGAAAGCCCAUACCCAGUCACUCCCCAUUCCCCUCUCACCCCAGCCCCUGGGAACCACUAAUCUACUUUCUGUCUCUAUGGUUUUGCAUGUUUUUGACAUUUAAUAUAAAAGUAGAAUCAUAUAAUAUGUGGGCUUUUUGUGUCUGGUUUCUUUCACUUAGCAUGUUUUUGGAGUUCAUCCACGUUGUAGCAUGUGUCAUUACUUCAUUCAUUCUUAUGGCAGGAUAAUAUUCACUGUAUAGAUAUACUAAAUUUUGCUUGUCCAUUCUUCAGUUGAUGGGCAUUUGGGUUCUUUCCACAUUUUGACUGGUAUGAAUAAAGCUGCUGUGAAUAUUCAUACACACUUUGUGUGAACGUAGGUUUUCAAUGAUUUUGGGUAUAUAACUAGAAGUGGAAUUGCUGGAUCAUAUGGUAACUAUGUAGCCAAAAACAAAAAAAAAAAACGUAGACAACAUGACUCCAAAUAGCAAGAUUCAAACACUUAUUUUAGUGCAAAACUUGUUUUCCGCCUCAUUCCAUUCACAUGAGAUAUCAACAAUUACAAGAAAACUCAUGCAAUGUUUCCACUUCAU